AGAGUUAAAUAGUACGUGAAAUUGUUGAAAGGGAAACGAUUGAAGUCAGUCAUGCUAGUGGGGAAUCAACUUGAUGGCGUGUGGGUUCUCUCGCAUACUUUCCGGUGCACUUCCUCACUCGGCAGGUUAGCAUCAAUUUCGGUUGUCAUAAAAAAUUUGAGGGAAUGUGGCUUUCCUUCGGGAAAGUGUUAUAGACCUUGAUCUAUGUGGUGACCGGGAUUGAGGAUUGCAGCGGAUACCAUUCGUGGCUUGUCACCUGGCUUCUGACGGUUACCCCGCUUUCGAUAGCUCGCUAACGUUAGUGGGACUCGAUCGUCUAGAUGUUAGACUGAUUCUAUUUCGCUAAGGAUGCUGACGUAAUGGCUUUAAACGACC
Molecule: ribosomal RNA, 375 nt
Filed under: Acaulospora cavernata
Lineage: Eukaryota; Fungi; Glomeromycota; Glomeromycetes; Diversisporales; Acaulosporaceae
Description: partial large subunit ribosomal RNA
Source: RNAcentral